UACGGAGGGUGCAAACGUUGCUCGGAAUCAUUGGGCGUAAAGCGCACGUAGGCGGACUGUUAAGUCAGAUGUGAAAUCCCUCAGCUUAACUGAGGAAGUGCAUUCGAAACUGGCAGUCUUGAGUAUGGAAGAGGGUCGCGGAAUUCCCGGUGUAGAGGUGAAAUUCGUAGAUAUCGGGAGGAACACCAGUGGCGAAGGCGGCGACCUGGGCCAAUACUGACGCUGAGGUGCGAAAGCGUGGGGAGCAAACAGG
Molecule: ribosomal RNA, 253 nt
Filed under: uncultured bacterium
Lineage: Bacteria
Description: partial 16S ribosomal RNA
Rfam family: Bacterial small subunit ribosomal RNA
Source: RNAcentral